This 402-nucleotide ribosomal RNA is filed under the name uncultured Thalassiosira. Its description in RNAcentral is "partial small subunit ribosomal RNA". It matches the Rfam family "Eukaryotic small subunit ribosomal RNA", at positions 30 to 432 of the family's 1831-position model. Lineage: Eukaryota; Bacillariophyta; Thalassiosirophyceae; Thalassiosirales; Thalassiosiraceae. The record is from RNAcentral.
GCUUGUCUCAAAGAUUAAGCCAUGCAUGUCUAAGUAUAAGCCUUUAUAUGGUGAGACUGCGAAUGGCUCAUUAAAUCAGAAACUGUUUAUUUGAUAGUGCCUACUACAUGGAUACCUGUAGUAAUUCUAGAGCUAAUACAUGCAUCAAUACCCAACUGUUCGCGGAAGGGUAGUAUUUAUUAGGUAUAGACCAACCCUCCUCGGAGGUGCUUUGGUGAUUCAUAAUAACUUUUCGAAUCGCAUGGCCUUGUGCCGGCGAUGGAUCAUUCAAGUUUCUGCCCUAUCAUGCUCUCGAUGGUAGUGUAUUGGACUACCAUGGCUCUCACGGGUAACGGGGAAUUAGGGUUCGAUUCCGGAGAAGGAGCCUGAGAAACGGCUACUACAUCUAAGGAAGGCAGCAGG